Long non-coding RNA from Macrobrachium nipponense, 1288 nucleotides. RefSeq lists it as uncharacterized. The record is from RefSeq and is a predicted model, not a curated record. Lineage: Eukaryota; Metazoa; Arthropoda; Malacostraca; Decapoda; Palaemonidae. The transcript has 3 exons.
AGAGAACCUAGACUGGGAAUGUAAAAACCAGUUUCAUCAAUGGGGAGCUUCAGUUGUACGACAGGUGUCGUAGUGAAAGGUAGUGACCCGUUUCGUCUGCUGAGUUACUACAAAACACCAGAAAGAAAAGUUAAGGAAGUCGUUAGGAAUCCUUUAUUACUUUUACGAGAUGAGGUGACCUGAAACAGCUGAUUUUGGAAACGUGAAAAACUUCUUAGGGCUCAAACAUGGAAGGAACUGACCAUAAUCCACCUGACAGAGAGCUGGGAGCUUCCAAACUGUGCAUCGGAAAUAUUUAGGAAUGAAAGCUUCAUGAACUGAUAGUGUUCAAGGUUACCACAUUAUUGGCCUUUUGAGGGGCUAGGCGUGGAAUGUGACAUUGUUCCCAGAGGGUUUUAUGCAUGUAGAAGUUAAUUCUACACGUGGAAGGGAUAUAAGCAAGGAGGUGGAUGGAAAUAGAAGAGGAAGAAGGACAGAGUUCAGAUGGAAAGACGAAUAACAAAUGACAUACGGGAGAAAGGUUUAAGAAGACAGGAUACACUGGACAGAGGAAGGUGGAGAAGGCGACCCCAUAUUGAAGAAGAAGAAGAAGAAGUAGAAGAAGAAGAAGAAGAAGAAAAUUAUUCAAGCUGGCCAUCUGCAAGACAGGACGUGUUGUAUAGCUCUUUUAUUUUGGGACUAAACAUGUUUUGAUGACACCUCUUGGGUCUCUGACAUUCACAUACGUUUGAAAAGGAGUAUUUAGAAUAAUUUUAUCAUCUGAUAAAAUGAUAGACUAUAGAAAUGGAGGCAAUAUUCGAAAAUGAGUUAAUGAUAUAGCCAAUGUAACACUAAGGAAUUUUGGCCUUGAGGUAAAUAUUACUUAUAAGUGACCCAUUUAUUGCAUAUUUAAUUAUGCUUUUAAGGGUGUAGUACAUACUUCAUUUCUUUAUAAGUAUUACAACUUAGGUACAGAACAGGAUAUGAUGUGGCAUUAUGAAUGGGAAUAGAUUUUGCUUUAAACGAUUGUUAAAUUGCAAAACAUUACGCAUGAUAAUUAGUCUGGGGUAUUCUAUAGAAACUGUACCCUGGGAUUUUUUCAAACUGAAUUUGAUGUUUUUAAUGUUCUGAAUCAGCCGAAAAUAGAUAAGGCUUUAGAUAAUGCACAGUUGAAUUUUUGCUUUGAAAGUAUAAGAUCUGCAGUACUGAAUCAUCAAUGAUAUAUCUUGUUUGUGCGACUAGACAUAACGUAAUUAAAAUCAAUAUGGCUUUGGCUUAGUUUUGUCAAAUAUAACAAGAGGCACGGUUA